This 93-nucleotide non-coding RNA is filed under the name pig gut metagenome. Its description in RNAcentral is "TPP riboswitch (THI element)". It matches the Rfam family "TPP riboswitch aptamer (THI element)", at positions 10 to 89 of the family's 105-position model. From Rfam's summary of the family: Vitamin B(1) in its active form thiamin pyrophosphate (TPP) is an essential coenzyme that is synthesised by coupling of pyrimidine and thiazole moieties in bacteria. The previously detected thiamin-regulatory element, thi box was extended, resulting in a new, highly conserved RNA secondary structure, the THI element, which is widely distributed in eubacteria and also occurs in some archaea. Analysis of operon structures identified a large number of new candidate thiamin-regulated genes, mostly transporters, in various prokaryotic organisms. The record is from RNAcentral.
AAACGGGGUGCUGCGUGUACGCGGCUGAGAGCGGAUAAAGCGAUAUCCGAAACCCAUAACCUGAUCUGGAUAAUGCCAGCGUAGGAAUGUACA